GACAGAGGGUGCAAACGUUGCUCGGAAUUACUGGGCGUAAAGCGCGUGUAGGCGGGCUGAUAAGUCAGAGGUGAAAUCCCCGGGCUCAACUCGGGAACUGCAUUUGAAACUGUCAGUCUGGAGUACUGGAGAGGAAAGCGGAAUUCCUGGUGUAGAGGUGAAAUUCGUAGAUAUCAGGAGGAACACCGGUGGCGAAGGCGGCUUUCUGGACAGUUACUGACGCUGAGACGCGAAAGCGUGGGGAGCAAACAGG
RNAcentral lists this ribosomal RNA (253 nucleotides) under uncultured bacterium. RNAcentral's name for it is "partial 16S ribosomal RNA". It matches the Rfam family "Bacterial small subunit ribosomal RNA", at positions 524 to 776 of the family's 1533-position model. The record is from RNAcentral.